RNA transcript from Theobroma umbraticum, 4656 nucleotides. It is a transcript of the gene named FtsH extracellular protease family, with no coding region annotated. Lineage: Eukaryota; Viridiplantae; Streptophyta; Magnoliopsida; Malvales; Malvaceae. The record is from RefSeq and is a predicted model, not a curated record.
CCAUAAAACCUCUCUAUCUCUUUAACUCUCUUCUUCUCCCUCAUUGUUGCAGGCUUCUACUUUUUAUUUUUUUAGAAAACUAAUCUCUAACUUUUCCCAACAUUUCAAAAUGAACCCCAAUAUUUCGACCAUCUUAUCAAUUACACCCUCUCCUUAGCUUCAUCAAUCUUCACCCUCCCAAUGGACUCCAUAUUCACUUCACCAUGCCUCUCUCAAAUCUCUCCACCCAAUUUCAGAACAAGGCACCUUAUCAGAACCCAUAAAUUUACCAAAAAACCCCUCAAAACCCUCCCCAUUAAGCUAAAGUUUGAUGCGUUUGCCUUCCGAGGAACUCCCCACAGCUCCAAACCUGUAAAACAUCAGAAUUUGAUACUACCCAGAAGGGAGGAUAUGGAAAAAGAAGCCAAAAUCUCGUCUGGUUAUUUUUCAUUUCAAUCCUUAGUUAAGAAUUUAGCUUUUACUUUGCUUUGUUUUGCUGUUGGGCUAUCAAAUUUGAGUCCAAAUGGGGAGUUUAAAGGUGUGGCAAUGGCUGCAGUAGUAGAAAAAGUGACAGUGAAGGGGAAAGAAGAAGAAAAGGAAGGGACUUUCAGGAAAGAUGAGCAUGAGUUUUCGGAUUAUACGAGAAAGUUAUUGGAGGUGGUUUCUGGGUUGUUGAGGAAGGUAGAGGAGGUUAGAAAUGGAAAUGGUGAUGUUAAGGAAGUUGGAGAAGUGUUAAAAGCUGUGAGAGUGAAGAAAGAGGAGUUGCAAGGGGAGAUAAUGAGGGGCUUGUAUAUGGAAUUAAGGGAGCUGAAGAGGGAGAAAGAGGAGUUAGAGAAAAGGGCUGAGGAGAUUGUGGAUCAAGCGGUGAAAGUGGGGAGAGAGAAGGGGAAGGUGGUCGGUGGGAGAGGGGGGAAAGGGAAGGGGAAGGAUAGAGUGGAUAAGUUGGAAGAGGGAUUGGAGAGAAUGGAGGAGGAGUAUAGUGGGAUGUGGGAGAGAAUUGGAGAGAUUGAGGAUGAGAUUUUGAGGAGAGAGACAACCGCAUUGAGUAUCGGUGUGAGGGAGCUUUGUUUUAUUGAGAGGGAAUGUGAGGAGUUGGUGCAAAGAUUUAAUAGCGAAAUGAGGCGGAAGGAGCAUUUUCAGGGCACCCUGAGAGGCUCUAUUACAAAUCUUUCAAGGUCUGAAAUUCGAGAUGAACUGGAAGCAGCACAACGAAAACACUUUGAACAGAUGAUUUUGCCUAGUGUUGUGGAGGUUGAAGAUCUUGGACCAUUCUUUAAUGAAGAUUCUGUGGACUUUGCUUUACGUAUAAGACAAUGUCUUAAAGAUUCUAGGGAGAUGCAGAGGAACCUGGAGUCUCGCAUAAGAAGAAGGAUGAAAAAAUUUGGUAGCGAAAGGCGUUUUGUUGUAAAAACUCCUGAGGAUGAAGUUGUGAAAGGAUUUCCGGAAGCUGAAUUGAAGUGGACGUUUGGAGAUAAGGAGGUUGUUGUUCCUAAAGCCAUUAGUCUCCAUUUGUAUCAUGGAUGGAAGAAGUGGCGUGAAGAAGCUAAAGUAGAUCUAAAAAGACGCUUGUUGGAAGAUGCCGAGUUUGGCAAACAUUAUGUAGCUCAAAGACAGGAACGCAUUCUCUUGGAUCGAGAUAGAGUGGUUGCAAAGACUUGGUACAAUGAAGAGAGAAGCAGGUGGGAAAUGGAUCCCAUGGCUGUUCCUUACGCUGUGUCUAAGAAGUUAGUAGAGCAUGCUCGAAUUAGGCAUGACUGGGCUAUGAUGUAUAUUGCGUUGAAAGGGGAUGACAAGGAAUAUUUUGUUGACAUCAAGGAAUUUGACAUGCUAUAUGAGAAUUUUGGAGGGUUUGAUGGGCUAUACAUGAAAAUGCUUGCUUGUGGUAUCCCAACUGCUGUUCAAUUGAUGUAUAUCCCUUUGUCAGAGUUGGAUUUUCGUCAGCAGUUUCUCUUGACAAUAAGGCUGGCUCAUCAAGGCUUAACUGGGUUAUGGAAGACAAAAUUUGUAUCAUAUGGAAAAGAUUGGGUUUAUCAGAAAAUUAGAAAUAUAAAUGAUGACAUAAUGAUGGUGAUUGUGUUCCCACUCAUUGAAUUUAUCGUUCCUUACCCGGUGAGAAUGCAGUUGGGGAUGGCAUGGCCAGAGGAAAUAGGUCAAACUGUCGCCUCCACAUGGUACCUAAAAUGGCAGUCUGAAGCAGAAAUGAAUUUCAAGUCCAGAAAGACAGAUGACUUAAAAUGGUUUCUUUGGUUUCUCAUUAGAAGCACUAUAUACGGAUUUAUUUUAUUUCAUGUGUUCCGCUUCCUCAGAAGAAAAGUGCCAAAAGUUCUUGGUUAUGGACCUAUACGAAAAGAUCCAAACAUAAGAAAAUUGCGGAGAGUGAAAGGCUAUUUUAAUUAUAGGCUGAGGAAGAUCAAACGUAAGAAAAAGGCUGGCAUUGAUCCCAUAAGAACUGCUUUUGACGGAAUGAAGAGGGUAAAAAAUCCUCCAAUCCCCUUGAAGGAUUUUGCUAGCAUUGAGUCCAUGAGAGAGGAAAUCAAUGAAGUAGUUGCCUUUUUACAGAAUCCUGGUGCAUUCCAAGAAAUGGGUGCCCGUGCACCUAGGGGAGUUCUUAUAGUUGGAGAGAGAGGAACAGGAAAGACAUCUCUAGCGCUAGCCAUAGCUGCCGAGGCUAGGGUACCAGUUGUCAAUGUUGAAGCGCAACAAUUGGAGGCUGGGCUGUGGGUUGGCCAAAGUGCAUCAAAUGUUAGGGAACUUUUUCAGACAGCGAGGGAUUUGGCACCCGUAAUUAUAUUUGUAGAGGAUUUUGACCUCUUUGCUGGUGUCCGUGGAAAGUUUAUUCACACAAAAAAGCAGGACCAUGAGGCCUUCAUCAAUCAACUUCUUGUGGAACUUGAUGGGUUUGAGAAACAAGAUGGGGUUGUUUUGAUGGCUACCACUAGAAAUAUCAAGCAAAUUGAUGAGGCCUUACAACGGCCUGGUCGUAUGGAUAGAGUAUUUCGUCUUCAAAGGCCAACUCAAGCAGAAAGGGAGAAGAUACUACGGAUUGCUGCAAAAGAAACCAUGGAUGAGGAGCUUAUAGAUCUGGUAGACUGGAAAAAGGUUGCUGAGAAGACUGCUCUUUUGCGGCCUAUAGAACUUAAACUUGUUCCUGUGGCCUUGGAAGGUAGUGCAUUUAGGAGCAAGUUUCUUGAUACGGAUGAACUUAUGAGCUACUGUAGUUGGUUUGCGACUUUCAGUGGCUUGGUCCCAAAAUGGGUGCGGAAUACCAAAAUUGUCAAGCAAGUUAGUAAAAGGCUGGUGAAUCAUCUUGGACUAACAUUGACCAAAGAGGAUCUGCAGAAUGUGGUUGAUCUGAUGGAGCCAUAUGGUCAGAUAAGCAAUGGAAUAGAACUCCUAAAUCCUCCCCUUGAUUGGACAAGGGAGACUAAGUUCCCGCAUGCUGUUUGGGCCGCUGGUCGUGGUCUCAUCGCACUACUUCUACCAAAUUUUGAUGUUGUGGAUAAUCUAUGGCUUGAGCCUUGCUCAUGGGAGGGAAUUGGGUGUACAAAGAUUACUAAGGCAAGCAAUGAAGGGUCCAUGUAUGCCAAUGCUGAAUCAAGGUCUUACCUUGAAAAGAAGCUUGUGUUCUGCUUUGGGUCACAUAUUGCAGCACAACUGCUACUUCCUUUUGGAGAAGAAAAUUUUCUUUCUGCAUCAGAACUAAAGCAGGCUCAGGAGAUAGCUACAAGGAUGGUGAUUCAGUAUGGAUGGGGGCCUGAUGACAGUCCUGCGAUUUACUAUAGUAGUAAUGCGGUUACAGCUUUGAGCAUGGGAAACAAUCAUGAGUUUGAGAUGGCAACUAAAGUCGAAAAGAUUUAUGAUUUAGCAUAUCAAAAGGCAAAGGAAAUGCUUAAGAAAAACCGACGAGUUCUUGAAAAGAUUGUGGAAGAGUUGCUUGAGUUUGAAAUCUUGACUGGAAAGGAUUUGGAGAGAAUCCUUCAUGAGAAUGGGGGGCUUCGAGAGAAAGAGCCUUUUUUCUUAUCACGAGUUGAUUAUAGAGAGCCAUUGUCUAGCAGCUUUCUUGAUGAAGGGAGUGCAUCAGAAACUACCUUUUUAGAUGUUGCAGCUUAGGAUUAAAAGAAUUUGCUGCUCUUGCAUUCAUACCUUGAAAGGUGAAGAGUGCAAAUAUUCAUCCUUUUGAGCACAGGAUAUGCAAGUAGUUGUACAGGGGGUAAUCUUUCCUUGGGUUGAGAAGAGGUGCCAUAUUUUUCCUUCUCCACCGUUUUUCUGUUUUACUGUUAUUUAAGUUUUCAACUCUCAAGGGUCAUCUUCUUGGAUAUGAUAGCAAAGGAGUAAAAUCUUCAAUCCUUUGUUCACAAGGGAAUCACUCGAGGAACUUCAAAUCUCUGAAAGAUAGUGUUUUUCAUUUUUUAUGGCCGAAGUUUUGAUGAUUGCAGAUGUAGGUUUAUUGUGUCUGGGACAAGCGCUAGAAUGCUGUGUUAACCUUCUGUUCCUCAAUUCGUUUCUUUAUUUCCCAAAAGUUUCACUUGUUGCUGUUGAUUUAUUAACUAAUGGCAGGACCCAAGAUACUAGAAGAUAGAUAUCAAAUGUGACACCUGCAGCUUUAGUACUUAUAUAUCAUGUAAGUAUCAAUUGGAAGUCUUAUUACAAGAUCUCAUUGACUACAGUUUACAUUUA